AACUUGGAUGAGCGAAACUCGACUUGGACAGAUAUCAAGAAGUCUUAUAGAAACUCAGUUUUGGAUCCAACUUGAUCCCGACUUGAGCACAUGUAGUGGGUUUCUAUUUUUAUUGUAUGUUAUUUGCCUUUGAAGUUUCUAUUUUUAGUUUUACAUUAAAAAAUAAUAAUAAUAAUAAUAAAAUAAAUAAAAAUAAAUGUUAGGCUGCCUGUAAGUCUGCCCCAACUACUGGUGGAGUGAAGAAGCCCCAUCGAUACCACCCUGGAACUGUUGCUCUUCGGUUCAUGGUCAUAAACCAGAGGGAGAAGAGCUUGAGCGUCGCAAAGAAAAUAGCAGAGGAACCUUCGAAAUAACAGACUGCUGAAGCUUUUGGUCUUGGAGAAUGUAGAAGAAAUCUCUUCUUUCCAUGCAAUCCGAAUGACUUACUGAAAUUCGAAGCAGUGGAGCAUCUUGAUAAACAGAAAAUAUGCUGAAUUGUACUGAAGAACAGAGUAGAGAAACAUAACCAUAUGAAAUAUGUUGAAUUUGUAUAUUGAAUCAACCCCUUGAGUAAUCUGAUACAUUGAUCAGGUGUGACAUUUGGUUUUUGUAUAUUGAAUCAACCCCUUUGGUAAUCUGAUAUAUUACAUUGAUCAAGUCUAAUGUCACAUUUGGUACUUUCUUCAAUAUGUUGAUAUUGGUUUUAAUUUUCUUUUAAAUCAAAAAAUAUGAAAAACAUGAAAAAACCCAGGAAAUAUUAGGACAACUGAAUUUAACUCAAACAGAAUUGUUUCCCUAAUAAAAUGUAGAAUUCAAAUACAUGACUUGCAUUUAAAUAUCAGAAUAACACCUCUGUGAGAAGAAGUUUGGAAGUCUUAUAAUCAUAUGGAACUUCCAAAAUCGCCCCAAUUUUCUGACUCUAUAGAAAGAAAAAAAGAAAAAAAGAACAAAAACAAGAAAAAAGAUGAUGGCAACAAAACCCAUUUCUGCGAAUCAAGUAAUUUCAACAAUCAACAUGAAACCCGAGGAAAAUUCUCAGAUUACCCCAGAAAUCCGAAGAACUUGAAUAUCCUUCUAGAACAACCAUAGCCCAUGUACUGAAAUCCAAUCCAAGAGAACAUAUCAGCGUCGAAUAUCGAAUCAAUUUCAUAAUAAUCAAACAAUUAGCUUUUGGGUUAUUGUGAUCAACCCAUUUCAUAAUAAUUAAUUUAAUCAGGAGUAUGCUUGAUAUUUCACUCUCUACUCUCUGUGCUGUUUUCUUGUCUCUGCUCACUAUGGCCGACUUGCAGGCUUGUGAUUGCAAAUCCAACCUACUUCUGCUGGAAAACUCCGAGUAAUACAUGUGCCAACAUGGCACAUCUGUCAAGAUUAUUCUCUUCAGUCCCUGUCAUUGUGCAAAUCUGCUGAGAUUCUUCUCUUCAGUCAGUCAUUGUGCUAAUACCUCUUUCAGCCUUUUGGCUAUAAGAUCAAGUGCAAUUUUUAUUCUUA
Magnolia sinica is the source of this 1467-nucleotide long non-coding RNA. RefSeq lists it as uncharacterized. The record is from RefSeq and is a predicted model, not a curated record. Lineage: Eukaryota; Viridiplantae; Streptophyta; Magnoliopsida; Magnoliales; Magnoliaceae. The transcript is spliced from 4 exons.